UCCUGUUCGGGCUCCUCAUGCUCCGUGCAGAGGCUCCAUGGGCCAAAGCCUUUCCCCUGAGACUCAUGCUGCGUUUAGGAGCGGAGUACAGAUUCUAUCCCUGUCCCUUGUUCAGUGUGCGCUUCAGAGAGCCUCUCUUCGGACCCGUCAACAACAGUAUUAUGAGACUCUUAGUGGAUUUCCGUUUUUACCGUUACACACUGCCGACGGUGCCGGGGCUCGUGGUUGAUCUAGAGGCUAGAAGCACCUGUAUAAGAAUCCCUAAAACACGUCA
Long non-coding RNA from Sinocyclocheilus grahami, 274 nucleotides. RefSeq lists it as uncharacterized. The record is from RefSeq and is a predicted model, not a curated record. The transcript has 3 exons. Lineage: Eukaryota; Metazoa; Chordata; Actinopteri; Cypriniformes; Cyprinidae.